GGUGCUGUGAAUUUUUUUUUUUUUGUGUUGGUAUGGUGAUUCAAAGGCCCUAGCAAUUCAAGGAGGAAAAAGUAACCUCUAAAGUGAGGAGCAGCGCUGCCAGCGAGAAAAACUCUGCCUCAGCAGCGUGCCGGGGUAUGAACAUCAUUUCACAGAAGUGCUGGGAGGUAUGAGAGAGUGAAACACUGGAACAGCUUGCCCAAGAAACUGGAAUCUCCUUCUUAAAGGAUUUUCAAAAUGUGGCCUGCUUCACAUGAUGUGUUGAACAGGAAAGUGAAAAAGAUUGAAAUAGCUUCAGUGGGACAUUAAGCACCUCAAAGAAGAUAAGCACCAAAAUGCAAAAGACCACUGAGGUGAUGUAAGGCAUUUGUGGAAGAGCCUGGUCAUUACCCACAGUGCUGAGCACAGCCAUCUCUUCUGAGGGCACCAGCAGAGACAUCCUUGCUGUGUCUGGCACCUGGGACAGGCAACCAGCGUGGUGUCCUUCUGCCUGUCUCUCCAUUUGAGGUGAAGAGCACCUCCUCUGCUCAGUUCCUUUCCUUUUCCAAGGAGGACUAAAAAGAGGGUAGGUGGGUGACAAAUCCAUGACAACUUCUCCCUACCUCGCCUUGGAAGGAGAGAGGAGAUGAAGAGUCCAGUUACAACUGAGAUUAAGAAGGUACUGUCUUGGCUCAGCUGGAAAUGAGCAGUAAGAACCACACUUCUUAUCUUCAAAAGUGAUUCCACUGAAGCUCAGCUCUGAGAACAGGUGGAGAAUCCUGUAGGCUCAUAUUUUUCCCAAACCAGUUUGUACCUAGUCUUACUUCUUUUAGAGGUAGACUAGAGAGAAAUACUUGAAUUGUACAAACCUGAAUUUUGUAUAUAUUUGAUCAAGGUGUCACAAAGUUCACCAGAUCAAUGUUUAUAAACUGUGUUUGUUCACAAUCCUUUAUGGGCAUUUAAACACAAUCUCUUUUUCACCAUUUGAAGUUUGGUUUGGGGGCUCUGUGGUUAAUGCCACAUAGGAAUUAUUUAUAUGUAAAAUCUGGAAUCGUGAUUAAAAGUAGUACAUUUUACAGUGCUUUUAUAGUCUAUACAGCUGAAGACAUUUAAAAAAAAAACCACACUCUUCACAUGGCCAUGAUAGAGAAUGUAAUACAUAUAUAACUUGACAUUUUGAGAGGCAAGAACCUACCUAUAGUUACUGACAUACAGUCUUCAAUUGUGUUGCUGUUGGUAUACAAUCUGUGCAUCUUCUGUUUUCAUGUCUGAAUUUAUACACUUGUGGUAUCUCCUUUCACUCAAUAGAAGUCCAGUAUCUUUUUCAGUAAGUUUUAAUAGUCUUUGGACAAACUUCCAAAUUAUUCCCUUAUUAAAUUUAUCUUACAAAUCUCACUAUUAGGCUCAUCCAUCUUGCAAUUGGAGAUUUCUCCGAUUGCAUGAAUAGUUCCUACUGGAUACUGUAUUGCAUGGAAUAUUUUGGCUGAUUAUGGAAAUGACACUUCAGAGCUAGCUGGAAGUGCUAACAUUUUAUUAAGGAUUUUUUUUGUAUCUGUGAGUAAAGCUGGUUUACUGUAUUUAGUACUAUUAAAAACAAACAAACAAUUCUUCCACCCCUGAGUAUUUUUAUUGCCCUAGAGACCCUUUAAUGGAGAUAAAAAAGAAUGGUUUUUAUUUUUUCUCUCUGCUUGCUGAAAGAAGCAGUAGGAGAAUUGUAUUAUUUCAGGCUGAUAUGACUCGGUAUGAAUUAGCAUUUGAACUGUUUCAUAUUUACAUAUUUAGUUUAUACAACAGUUACUCAGCCUAUAUUUUGAAGGAAGAAAAUAGGUAAAUGAUGUUAAAGUCAUUUCCAUGUUUGAAGAAUUGUGCCUCAGUUUGUGAAACAAAAUUCUCUCUCUCCUUUUAGUGGAAAUGGCCUUUUUGUGAAUGGGUAUCCUGCUGAAUGAAAACCAAACAUCUUUCAAACAUUGUGCCAUAAGACAUUUUGUACUUCCUCUACACAGCAUGCAUUUGCCCUGAUUACAGCCUAUUAAAGGCAAAGAGGAAAGGACUUUUCAGUUGCUUUGUUGACUUUUAUAUUAAGAGGGAUUUUCAACUUUGCUUUCUCACUCUGCAUAAGUUGUUGUAAUUUCAGGUCUGAUGUCUGUUUCACUGAUGCUCGUUAUUUGGUAUGACACUCUCAAAUAAAAGAUUUGUAAAAAUGUUGUAUUUAAUUUCACAAUCUAAUAGUCACUUCAUUACCUCUUAUGAGGUUCUAGGCAUUUGUCCCUUUCUUCUCCUGUGGUUUCAUCUAAAAAGGAAUGGCAAACUUCUUAACACGUUUUAGGCAUUGUGUUAAACUCUCUAGCCCGUUCACUAAGGUAUGAAUAACUACUUGAAUACUGACAUAGCAUUUUGUUAUGAUAUCACUUAGCUGAACAGUUAAUGGAGUUUGGUAUCUUGAAGGAUUUUGCAUCGUGGAAGCUAUUACUUGAAGCCAAUUUUAGCUUUCUUGUUCUUUUCAGCUCUUUUUACUUAUUUUAUUAAUUUGCAUAUUGUUAUAGACAGUUUAGUAAUUGUCUAAGUUGGAUGCAUAGUGUAAGUUUUUCUGUAGCCAAUUCACUAAAUCCUUGUAACAGAUUGUGUAAGUGUCACUUUUCUCUAGCAUUCUGAAUACAUUACUUGCCUUUUAACAUUCUUGCAGCCACCCUGUUCCAAAACUGCACUCCUCACCCAAAGAUUUCUGUAAUGCUACAGCACCAAUCUUCCUCAGCUCUGCACUUCUUUUCUCCUGCCCUCCACACCUACUCACCCCAUUUCUCCCAAACAGGACACGUCU
Molecule: non-coding RNA, 2797 nt
Organism: Anas platyrhynchos (mallard)
Lineage: Eukaryota; Metazoa; Chordata; Aves; Anseriformes; Anatidae
Source: RefSeq, a predicted model, not a curated record